UGAGACACGGACCAGACUCCUACGGGAGGCAGCAGUGAGGAAUAUUGGUCAAUGGGCGCAAGCCUGAACCAGCCAAGUCGCGUGAGGGAAGACGGUCCUAUGGAUUGUAAACCUCUUUUGUCGGGGAGCAAAGCGCGGUACGAGUACCGCGAAGGAGAGUACCCGAAGAAAAAGCAUCGGCUAACUCCGUGCCAGCAGCCGCGGUAAUACGGAGGAUGCGAGCGUUAUCCGGAUUUAUUGGGUUUAAAGGGUGCGUAGGCGGAUUUGUAAGUCAGCGGUAAAAAUGCGGUGCUCAACGCCGUAUCGCCGUUGAAACUGCAGGUCUUGAGUGAGCGAGAAGUAUGCGGAAUGCGUGGUGUAGCGGUGAAAUGCAUAGAUAUCACGCAGAACUCCGAUUGUGAAGGCAGCAUACCGGCGCUCAACUGACGCUGAGGCACGAAAGCGUGGGGAUCGAACAGGAUUAGAUACCCUGGUAGUCCACGCAGUAAACGAU
Molecule: ribosomal RNA, 493 nt
Filed under: uncultured bacterium
Lineage: Bacteria
Description: bacterial SSU rRNA
Rfam family: Bacterial small subunit ribosomal RNA
Source: RNAcentral